UGAGGAUCACGUGGGAACAUGCCUCCUUGUGGGGGACAACAGCGCGAAAGCGGUGCUAAUCCCGCAUACGCUCGUGUGAACGAGGAAAGCGGCAACGCGCAGGGAGAGUGGCCCGCGGCCCAUCAGGUGGUUGGUGGGGUAACGGCCUACCAAGCCAAUGACGGGUAGCUGGUCUGUGAGGACAGACAGCCAGACUGGGACUGAGACACGGCCCAGACUCCUACGGGAGGCAGCAGCAAGAAAUUUUCGUCAAUGGGCGCAAGCCUGAACGAGCAACGCCGCGUGGAGGAUGACGGCCUUCGGGUUGUAAACUCCUUUUGGGGGGGACGAUAAUGACGGUACCCCUUGAAUAAGGCUCGGUAACUCUGUGCCAGCCGCCGCGG
This 383-nucleotide ribosomal RNA is filed under the name uncultured bacterium. RNAcentral's name for it is "bacterial SSU rRNA". It matches the Rfam family "Bacterial small subunit ribosomal RNA", at positions 107 to 520 of the family's 1533-position model. The record is from RNAcentral.